RNAcentral lists this ribosomal RNA (794 nucleotides) under methanogenic archaeon enrichment culture clone 4.17a Arc Band 1. Its description in RNAcentral is "bacterial SSU rRNA". It matches the Rfam family "Archaeal small subunit ribosomal RNA", at positions 103 to 904 of the family's 1478-position model. The record is from RNAcentral.
GAUACCUGCCCUAAGGUGGAGAAUAACCCCGGGAAACUGGGGAUAAUACUCCAUAGACUAGAGAAACUGGAAUGUUCUUUAGUCGAAAGCUGAGGCGCCUUAGGAUGGAUCUGCGGUCGAUUAGGUUGUUGUUGGGGUAACGGCCCAACAAGCCUGUAAUCGAUACGGGUUGUGGGAGCAAGAGCCCGGAGAUGGAAUCUGAGACACGAUUCCAGGCCCUACGGGGCGCAGCAGGCGCGAAAACUUUACAAUGCAGGAAACUGUGAUAAGGGAACCCCGAGUGCCCGUAUACGCGGGCUGUCCAGGUGUUUAAAAAGCAUCUGAAGAAAGGGCCGGGCAAGACCGGUGCCAGCCGCCGCGGUAAUACCGGCGGCUCGAGUGGUGGCCACUAUUAUUGGGCUUAAAGCGUCCGUAGCUGGACUCUUAAGUCUCUUGGGAAAUCCGCCGGCUUAACCGACGGGCGUCUAAGAGAUACUGGGAGUCUAGGGACCGGGAGAGGUGAGAGGUACUCCGGGGGUAGGAGUGAAAUCCUGUAAUCCCCGGGGGACCACCGAUGGCGAAGGCAUCUCACCAGAACGGCUCCGACAGUGAGGGACGAAAGCUGGGGGAGCGAACCGGAUUAGAUACCCGGGUAGUCCCAGCCGUAAACUAUGCGCGUUAGGUGUACUGGUGACCACGAGUCACUGGGGUGCCGAAGGGAAACCGUGAAACGUGCCGCCUGGGAAGUACGGUCGCAAGGCUGAAACUAAAGGAAUUGGCGGGGGAGCACCACAACGGGUGGAGCCUGCGGUUUA